AGUUGAGUCUGGUAGAAGCCAGUGACCCAGCUCAACAGAACAUGAUGGUUGUGCAGAUGGAGACACAUUCACAAACUGAAGUGCUUUCAAUUUCCGAUUCAAGUUUAUGUCUCUCUGCCCUAGACAACUCCUAUGCCAACAAUUGAACCAUCACCCGCAAAGUCUCCGAGAGAGAGAAUUAGUGAAGAAAGAACAAAAAGCAUUCCACAACCCCCGAAACCUGAUG
Arachis duranensis is the source of this 226-nucleotide long non-coding RNA. RefSeq lists it as uncharacterized. The transcript has 3 exons. The record is from RefSeq and is a predicted model, not a curated record. Lineage: Eukaryota; Viridiplantae; Streptophyta; Magnoliopsida; Fabales; Fabaceae.